Non-coding RNA from Nothobranchius furzeri (turquoise killifish), 2257 nucleotides. Lineage: Eukaryota; Metazoa; Chordata; Actinopteri; Cyprinodontiformes; Nothobranchiidae. The record is from RefSeq and is a predicted model, not a curated record.
UGUAGUGGAUUAAGAACUUUGAUAAAUUCGGCUGUAAGAUAAGUAGUUCUUUUUGGUUUAAAUCCUAUAGUGCAAUAGCCAUUUUCAUUUCCUGAUCCUUUUGUCUGCUCUUAAAGCUUGAAUUUCCGUUCAAUUUUCCACUUUAGAGCUCGGUUUUAUUUUUGGUAAUUAGAAUAAAGUUUAGCCAUCGAGAUUUUUUGUUUACUAGUUAUUUAGCUCCGGCAUUUUUCGUUUGUUAAAAAAAUCAUUGUUAUUUCUUCCCCAAGGCCUUUAGCCUCAGGUUUUUUUUUUAUUUCUGCCCUGUCACCUUUAUUUGUUUUCACAGAAUAAAUUAGUUGUGUUAUUGUUCCAGUCAAGGACUGAGUAUUUGUGUUUUACUCUUUGUUAAUAAAAUACAUUUUUAUUUAUACUCAUCCCUUUUUCACGCCAGUUAUCAUGUUAACCCUCCUAUCACAACUAACUACCAUCUAGGGCAGGAUCCCCAAUCCAGCUUGUUUUAUAUCUCACCCUGCUGAUUCAGUGGCUGAAUCACCUGUUCAACAGCUAGUCAGGCUCUGAAGAACGCUGCUAAUCACCACUGAUUGAAAUCAGGUGUGUUAAAACAGGGACACAUUUUUACGGCUGGAGCCUUGUUGUGUUGUGUUUUCAUUUUUCUGUGCAUUUUUUGUUCUCAUUUAUGCUGCAUCUGAGCAGCAUGCCUGCAGACUAUGGCCUGUUUGCUCACCCUUGCUCCUCCCUGCACCAACUGAGCUGGGUUUUCGUCAGCCACUGAUUGCUUAAAGGACCUGCUGGAGCUCCUCACCGAUGGGGGACAAUAGUGCAGAGCUGCCUUUCUCUGCCUGUUGUCUCCCACUUAGGGCUUUGAUAUUGAAUAGUGAGAGGAAAUAAGCUUUAGGGGUAAUCUGUUACCUUUUAGUGUUUGAGAUUUUGUGCUCUCUUUAGAGUAGGUCCUUGUUAUGUUACAUUUUAGUAUUUGAGCCUGUUUUGGUUAAAUGUUUUUUGUUCAAUGGUGGUUUCUUUUCUAGAGUAAGACAAAAAAAAUAGAAAAGUAAAUAGAACCUUUGUUAAUUUUACUUUGUGUCACAUGUCCUCCAUGUUACCCCAGGCCCCCUAGACACCUGGGUUGUAGCACACAUCUAAAACAUGCUGGAUAGUGGAUCCUGAUGACCAGGGUUGGGCACCCCUGAUCUAGGGUUUGUAACACAGGCCAAUUCAGUUGUUUGGACAUCCGUCAGACAACAAAACAAAUUUGGAAACUAGUUAAUCAGUAAAAGCUCAGUUUAAUGAAAUUCUUCUCAUAUCUUGACUUUUCCUUUGUCUGCUCCACUAGGUCCACUGUGUGUUGCUUUGAAGCUUGUGGUUCCAAUCACAUAACUAAGUACAAAGCUUUUCUCACAGACUAUUGAAAUGCAGUUUUACUCUAAAACUGUUUUGGAUAGAGCUAAAAACAACUAAUCGAUUUAAUCGAUUAUAAUCGAUUAUUAAAAUAGUUAACAACUUUUUUAGUCAUCGAUUAGUUGUUUAAUAAUCAUAUUUUACCGCAUAAAGUCUAUUUUUUUACCACAAUCUGACAUCGGUUACAAUCUGUUAAAUUUGCCGCCAGUGUGUGGCAGUAAUGAGCCACUGAUCUACCAGUGGAGCCGUAGAAGAAGAAAUGAGCCAAUAAGUGCCCUCGGUUUUCAUGACGUAUCACGUUACUGACGCUCAUCUUGCUGUGAGAGAUGGCGGAUCAACAAGAAAUACGGAAGAAAAAUAGAAGCGACAAAACAAGAGAAACCACGGACAAAAACCUCACGAGUAUGGGAGCACUUCACUAGAUGCCUUGAAAAGACCGGUGACCUGCAAAAUAUGCAAAAACCAUGGCACGACGGAAGCACGACGUCCCUAAGUGAACAUUUGAGACGAAAACGUGGGGGCUGAUGCAGCAGAGGAAUGUCCGAAAAAAAACAAGCAACGAUGGACAACUACAUGGGGAACAAGACACUCACCCCCAGCAAUGCAUACCACUUACAAACUCUAUUCCAGAUUCUACAUUAUUUUUUAUGGAAUUUACCUCUUAUAUUUUGAUGCCAAAAAAUUAUUCUGGACUGAUAUUUUGCACUGUUUAGCUCAUUUUACACUGCUGACUGUGUUCAUGUGCAAUAAAAUAGAUUGCAUUCAACUGCACAAUUCUCUUAUGUUUUUCUUUUUCUUAACUGAAAUGUAUUCAUCACUUGUAUAGGUUAAAUAGCUAAACAAUAACAAACCGAUUAAUCGA